CUCACUCUCCCUCUCCAUUCCCCUUUCACCAAUGAAGAAAUAGUGCACCUCCCAUCUCCUUCCCAUGGGGUGGCUUCAGUCCCUCUUCUCUCCUCUGAAGAAGCUCUGGUUUCGCUUGCAUUCUGCUCGCAAAAAGAAUAGAGGGAUAUACAUCCUCUACGAGGAUGUGAAGUCAUGCCAAUGCGAAGACGUGCAUAUCUUAUGGUCGAUCCUCGUCGAAUCGCAGCCGUCGCCAUUGCGACUGAAGCAGUGAGCCCCUGCUCAUGAAUCCAUGGAAGAACACCGGCGAAGACGACGAGGUUUCUGAUGUGUGUGAUUGUAUAUACAUACUAAAUACAAAGAUAAAUGCACAGGUCAUGAGUGAGGGUGAUGAGCUCCUCCCGUGCCUCAAAUCCUUGUUUGCAGUAGUAAUAUCUGAUGUAUUCUGUGUAAUACUAAAAAGAAAACAUGACAGGGUUUGGUAGAAGGCUUGUUUUCUUUUC
Molecule: long non-coding RNA, 482 nt
Organism: Musa acuminata AAA Group (dessert banana)
Lineage: Eukaryota; Viridiplantae; Streptophyta; Magnoliopsida; Zingiberales; Musaceae
Exons: 2
Source: RefSeq, a predicted model, not a curated record